UAAUUUGGCUUUGUGUUUACACACAAUCUGUUUCCCCCUCUGGCAACCUGCAGCUCAUGUUUUGCAUUAAGAAGACACACCCAGUUGCCACUGCUUUCCCUGGUGGCUUGUUGAUUCAAAAGUGAAAACAAACUGUUGACUGAUAUGUGAGAACAUUUGCUAGUAUGGGAAAUAAAACAUUGUAUUGUCUUCUACCUCCUUUAUAAGUUGACAAUUUUAUGCAUAGUAUAAGUAUGUGUGUAAUUCACAUUCACUAUGGCUCUGUCAAUGUAUCUCUCUCUAUGGCUUUUUUUUUCCCCCUUCAGGGUAAUCGAUAGAGUAGUAUCAUCCUAUUUUCUACAAAACAAGAAAAUCCACCAUCACAUAUCAGUCAGGUUUAAAUUCAUUGAAUAACUAAAUUCAGUUAGAUUUUGUUAGGGCUAUGCAUUCAAGGAUAGCCUCUCCUUUGCUCUUAUCUCCUGAAUACUGAAAGGAAGAAAUUAUUUGUUUCUCUUUGAGGCUAUUCCAAACCUGAGGCAUCUCGUGGCUGUGCAAUACUGUUUCUAAAUAAAGUGUAAAUUCCUGAUUUGGGGCGAAGCUGAGAUUAUGUACCAAGUACCAGCCAACAAUAUUCUGACUCAAUGUACAGCAGUGUGGCAAUGAGGCUUUGAGAAAGUAUGAUUUAUUACCCUUUGUGAAUGUGCUGAAAGCCAGGUUUCAUAUAAUCACCCAGGACUAGUGUCAUAUUUGAAGGGUAUCGAAAUCCAAUAUCCUCUAAAAGUAAGUGUAUCUAAUUAAUUGUCCUAAUAUUUUUAGAUUAGUGUUUAUGAUGGGGAAACCUUAUCCUCUUUGAAGUAAAAUCCAGAAAAGGCCCAAAGCCUGGGCUGGGGAAGGGGAGAACUAGGAAUGCCAGUUUGCAGACAGAAGUAUUUCUUUCUGUUCAAUAAGUGUCAAAGAUUAAUAUUACAGAAUCUCUGAUUACAUGGCCUAAUCCAUUUUGGUGAAUAAAUUUGUUCUUGAUGUCUAUUGCACCUACAUUAACAGACCCUUCUCUGUUAGAGAGCCUGGGAGCCUUUGGGAGAGAUUUCAGAUAUAUUAAACCCCAUUACAGAAAAUGUAAUUUCUGUCAAUAUAAUCCCAUGUAUUCUUCAAUUUAGUAUUUUAGAGAUAACAAGCUACUUACAAUAUAUUUGCCUUUGGAGGAUUAAUUUACAAAGUGCACUAUCUGCAAGACACAGACAGACUCACAUAAGAAUUGCUUGUAAGGGUUAUCAAUUUCUAUGACCUUACUGCUGCCUUGAGAGAUCAAUUUUUGCAGCCCUUUUCAUCAGUGGAUGGUAAACCAAGCAAAGGCAUACUACAUCUAAAUGUGUUACUACGAGUUGUGUGGCUGCUGAGGUUUUUUGUUUGCCUAUUUCUACCUGCUACUGUGUCUUAAUUUUCAAGGCUGUUAAUACUACAUAUUGGAAAUUUCAAAUAUGUAAUAAUUUCAUAUUUGAAAUAUGAAAUUUCAAAUAUGUAAUAUUUGAAAUAUAAUAUCCUGGAUGAUAUUAUAGGGGAGACCAUCAAUUUUGCGUGCACAUCUAGAUUCAUAUAUCUGUAUUUUAAAACUUAAAGCUGAUGUUGAGACAGUUUUAAUACAAUGGAGGCUGCACAAAUGUCCGCAUUUCCCUGGGAAGUGUUCCUGUUUGCGGGCAAAGGAGUGGCAGGACAAGCUCUCUAGUUAAGAAACGAAAAGCGCUGUCAUUCAGGGGAUCUAUCCUGUGAGCCAUCUCUCUUCCUCUGCAGGGUUGCUAGCAAACUCCACUCAUAAACACAGUUACCAGAGAACAAAUCCCAAUACAAGUUGCUUACUAUGGGUGGACGGCCUUAUUAUGGGAUAUUUCCUGUGAAUGCAGGAAGAGGAAGGCAUUCUUGUGACUUCAAGCAAUAUAUAUAUACACACAGUUUUCUAAAUUCUAUGCACAGUCUCUGCCGGAGAGCAAUCUUCCUAAUCAGUCCAUGAUCACAAUUCGACUUUCUCAGUUUUGUAACCAGAAGGGAGAGAAAGGAUGUUUAAAAAGUUUUAAUUCACACUCUAAAAUAAUUUUAAAGUAUAUGCAGACUUUACCCUAAACUUCACACUGCUAUUCAAUUCUGCACGGGUAAAUAACUUAAAAAUAGCUUUUAAUUAGUUAUUUGGGACAGAAACACAAUUCUGUGCUUAACUGCCACUUUGUGCAGUGUGUGGUUUCUCUCUACUUGUAUAUAUAUGGAGUUAGAAGUGGCUUUUGCUUGCACCACAGUGCUUUGCAUUUGGCAAUUGUUUCAACAUUUAACAAUGUUGUUUGCUGUAGAAAAUGUCCCUCAAGUAACUAAAAGUUGUAAGAGAGAUUGUUUUUCUUUAGUUUGACAAAUAAUGACAAUACCAUGUUUGAUUUGAAUUUUUAAUGGUUUAUUAAUUUUUAUAGAAACCUCUUCCUGUUUUGUUUUGUUUUGUUUUGUUUUGUUUUGUUUUGUUUUGUUUUGUUUUGAUACCGAGUCCUGCUCUGUUGUCCGGGCUGGAGUGCAGUGGUGUGAACAUGGCUCACUGCAACCUCCAACUCCUAGCUCAAGUAAUCCUCCUGACUCAGCCUCCCCAGUAGUUGGGAAUACAGGCAUAUGCCACCAUGCCCAGUUAAUUUUUUUUUCUUUUGUUGAGGCAGGGGUUUUGCUAUGUUGCCCAGGCUGGUCUCUAACUCCAGGGCUCAAGAGAUCCACCCACUUCAGCCUCCCAAAGUGCUGGGAUUACAGGCGUGAGCUACUGCACCCACUUAUAAACAUUUUUUAUAAAAAAUGUUUUUCAUCUUAGCUAUACUGAGCAUCGGUACAAGUUAUUUUCUACUAAAAAUAAUAAUUUUGAAAAUGUCAUCAUUAGUAUUUCUGUGUUUCCCUUUCAUUUAUUUAUCCACAACUUUUAAACAUCUGUGUCUUCCUUCUUGGAUUUCUUAAAACUUGUUAAUACACAUGUACAUUUUUGUAUGAACUAUGAGUCACUGUUGAAAUGCAAUUCAAUAAAAUGCUGAAGGACAGGUUGAGUGUAGAUCAGUCAUAAUUAUUAGCAGUAACAUAAUGUAUCAAAAUAUAUAAUAUGUAAGUGAAAAAUAUAAACUCAUGUCUAGUUGUUAGAGUGUCAUAGAAAUCCUGGCUGAUGCAGUUUUAAGUUAGGCUUUGACUGAAAAAUAGACAAGAAGUUUGCUACAUUUUAAUGGUUCUUUCACUUCAUCACUGAACUAAUUUUACAUUUCUCGAAUUGACAGUGAUAUAUACUACCUGCCUCAGGUGGCUAAGGCUAAAGUACAUGGGAUUUGAGGGGAGAAAGGCAAAAGAGGAGAGAACUUAAAAGUAAAACAAUAAGACUGAUUUGAUUAAUUAAGAGAAAAUCUGGAAAAAAGAAAAUCUCGUUAUAACUCUUAUUUUGGUCCAAUUGUCAGAAUAAAAAUGGAGAGAAAGAAUCUUAAAAUGGUUGGCAUCAGUACUUACAGCAUGUGGGCCCUAGGAUGGAAUGUGAAAUUUAUUAGAUGUGACAUUGUGGGCCAAGUCUAUGCCAAUAAAUUUUUUGAGAAUUGAGGCAAUUAUGUAAAUAAUUUGAGUAAAAUAUUUUUAAAUAAAUUAUCUAAGUAUUUGAUGUGACUGCAUAUUUUUAAAAAAUCAACCUCCAUAACUAGUUGUCUAAAUAUUUCAAUCUAGUAUGUUGUGGUUGACUUAGAUUUAAAAGUGUAAUCAUUUUCGAAACAUAAUAUGCACCAGAGAUUUAUGUAUUCUUCCUUCUUUGGUCCCUUGCUCCCAAUUAUAAUUUUAUCCAAAAAUGAUAAAUAAUAGCAUCAGGGGCUUUUGUCUCUUUGCUUUUUUACUGUUGUUGUGGUUUUAACAAAUACUUAUGUUAUAUCAGCAGUGCAAACAUUACCAAUAUGCAAAUGUUUUAGUAAUUUAAGUAGAAACAUCUUAAAUUUUGAGAUUAGAUGGUUGUUUAGACCUUUAAGUAUUUAAGUAGAACUUUAUGGAAGACACACACACACACACACACACACACACAAUCAAUACUUGGUUGUUUUUUCUCCUGAAUAGACCAACUUAAUUUUUUUAUAUUGAAAAUGUGAGUGUAGAAUGGUCAGAUAAAAAUUCCCUUAUACAUGAUCACACCAGUGUUGCGGACCUGGGAAUUCCCUGUGAUGAAAACUUAUCUCUUGUACUUGUGUCGUACUUACUGGAUGCCUCAGUUGCCUCCUGCCUCAGCAGAGUUUUGGCCUAGGGUGUACUGAAUACAUUUUACAGUUUCUUUGUUUACUACUCCUCAUCCAAACACUUUCCUAUUAAGUUCUGAUAUUAAAUGAUUAUCCCUUUAUGCUCUGAGAAGGCAAUAUGGGUUUUAGGUGCAAAAUAUAUAGUGUAUGUGAAAUACAGUAUUUAUAUAUAGAGAAAAAUUAUUCUCCAUCAAGAGAGCAUAUAAAAUUCCAGGUUCCAUCCUAGCAGCCAAGAUGACACUGUUCAGAACUAUGGUACUCUACAUUUCUUAGAUUUAGUGCUCAUACCAGAUUUUCCUAGUUAUUUCAUUUAUUGCUUUCAAAGCUGCAAAGCAUUCAGGCAUCACUUCCCAUUUAUUAUGAGUGGGAAAAAAGUAUGUUAUCCUUGGAGAUUUAUGCCACUGGCAAGUAAAAAUGUAAACUUAUUUUUUAAAAAUAAGAUCUCCUUUAUUAUAAUAAACAGAUUCAGCUGUUAAAGGUCAAGUUUCUUUCUGAGUUAUGGUAAUAAUAUAGCAAAUACUUUUACAAAUAAUCAAAGAUUCUAUAAAUAUAGGUACCUGUUUAGAUGUAAAUGUUAAAACAUUCACAAAUUAUCCUUUCAACUUCUGUGAUCUAAAAAUCAAUAGGGGUCAUAGGGUUUCAUAGAAUUGUUCUGCUUUUUCUUCCAACAUAAUUUAAUAAUACAUUUUACAGAUGUUGUUUGAAUAUUAGACACAGAUUGUUUUGUCAAUAAAGUUAAACAGAGGUAUGACACAAAAGCAAGGAAAACAGAUGUAAAAAAAAGAAAAAAACAGUACACGAUGCAAGAAGCUCUGGGUCACUUGUUUGCUAUUCAACUACAAAAUUAAAGUGUGGGCUGUAUGGUGAUUUUCCUUGCCUAGGAAUCACCUAGGGAUGGAACAGCUUCACACAUAGAAAGUAAUUGUAUUAAGCAGGUGGUUUAACUUUUUCCCUUGAGAAUUGAAGUGUAACCUACAUUUAAAGUAGACUUCCUAAUUGAUCAAUGGAGUAACAGGUGCGGUAUAUUAAAAAGAAAAAGGAGAAAUAUAAAUGGAAGAACUCCCCAGAAUAUUUCAGAAUGGGUUGUUGUUCUUCAAGCCUCGGUUAAUUGCUAUGCUUUUCACCUUGAGUGUCAAUUCUAAUAAUAUUACCUUUACAGACGCUUACUCUGGGCUUAGAUUAUAGCAAUCAGUAAUACUCACUAGAUAAAAUACUGUCUAGUUGCUCAUAAGAAAAUAUUGAAAUCAGUCAAAAAAUGUUUAGCUUGCAUAUUGCCUGAGACAGAGCUGGCGGGGCGCCAGACAGGCAGGGUAUUAUUAGGAAAGCUGAGCAAAUAGCUCGCAGGGAAAAGAGCUGUGAAUUUAGAAACCUUCAGGUAUUGUCAUGUCAGAGAGUCUUAAGAGUUCAACAGAGACACUGCUUUUUUUUUCCUUCAGAUUUAAAAAAUUUCCAACAAACAAUCUUCUUUGAAAAUGACUCUGCAGUCUGUUAAAUAUACUUUGUUGUAAGUUUUACACCAUAAGUUUACUCAGAGCUUUUCCCCACUGCAUAAAAUCACAUCGUUAAUACUGUUAAAGACGAAAGCUCCUUAUGAAAGAGUACACUUUGAAACACUGUGCUGGCUGGAAAAACCCUGCCCCUUCCACCAUGGGGCCCUAAGUCUAGGUGAGAAAAGAAAUGAAGGUCUAGGAUGUAGGAAGGGUGGAUUUGAAAGUCCAAAUAUGGUUUUGUGUAACCACUGUUUCUCCUCCAGCCAGCAUUCAAAGGCAGUUGCUGAGCUUCUCAGGAGGACAAGACACUAGCUGGAAGCUGCAAUCCAGCUGGUACAACCUGAGGAAUUAUGUCGGGACCCUGUAGGGUUGGGGUUCAAGUGAGGCUCAGAGUUGAGUGAGUUGGGAGACUGAUUUACCCAGCAGGGACCCAAUGUUUCUGAAUAUCCAUGAUUCAUUUCAAGGCAAUGAAACCAGUGACAACGGAGGUUGACUUUGAACAUGGUAUGCAGGUCAGCACAACUUGUUGCAAAUCCUAAUUAAGCCAGUCUUCUUGUUUUCAGUGUGUCUGUAAGUAUCUGGUCAGAGAAAUGCAAACAACAGGCUGUGGGUCAUGCAACCCGAUGGGGCAGGACUUGACUCCCAUUUCCCUGGAGAGGGCAUAGGGAUGAGGGGCUGAGAGGUGUCACGGUCAAGGGGGAAGAGCUUGGCUACGCCUCAUCCAUAGGUGGCUAAGGUGUAAGCCUCAUGACAAUUUAAAAUUUACACAGGGCAAGUAUGGGAAGGGGAAAUGCAGGGACAGGUCGCUGCAAUCAAAACAUUUCAUCCCUCAUCCCUACUCCUUGGAUUUGGGCGACAGUGUCCUCUGGUUUAAAAUGGACAAGUAGGACGAAUUAGUCAGGACUCAAAGGACUCUUUUAGCUGUAAUAUUCUAGACUGUGUAAUAAUGUGAAUCAAAGAGAAGUAAAGUGUGCGCUCUGAAACUCUCAUUCCAGCUUUAUCCUAGGAGUGGGGAAGGAAAAAAAAUACUUUGAUAAGGAGACAAACAGAGAAAUUAAUUAAAAAGUUGUAGUUGUAACUUUCCUCAUCUUACAUAAGCAAAUCAAACACUGUAAAAUAAAAACUAGAUGAAAUUAAACAUUAUCACAAGACAUGAAAAAGAUGUGUGCUGUCAUUUUAGGAUUCAUAAUAAAGAUAAAUCAGUUGUUUUUAGCAGUGUGCUAUGAGUCUAUGAAGGGCAUGACAGAUAAUAGGCUCGAAAUUUCUGAAGUUAUUGUACAGCAAAAUUUGUUUUUUCCUCAGGCAUUCAAUCUUUUUCUCCAGUAAUUUUGAACAUGACAAACUUUUUAGUGGAUGCAUUAAUAAUCUAUAAGUAAUGGGUUGUCAGGUGUCAGUUAGAUAAGAUUAAAAGACUGUUUAAGCAUUAUCCAUUUGCUUCUUUGCAUGAGUUUUAUAGGUCAGCAGAAAUAACUUUUUGAAUUGUGGUUGUGUGUACGUGUUCUCUCUCUCUCUCUCUCUCUCUCUCGUCUCUCUCCACCCCCCAAACCCCCCUCCCUCUUUCAUUUGGCUCCACUCCAAGCAUACGUGGAAGAACCGUAUUACAUUCCAUAAAUCCUUUGCUGAGGCUGGUGUUGGGUGAUUAACCGUUAAGCACGGAAGCGCAGUACCCAGAGAGACCCUCUCUCUCCUCUCACUUACAUCAUCAUCUGGCUUCAGGCUGUGCCUACAGAAAACAAACAGCAUUUUUGAGUGGUUAAAAAGUCAGCCUGAAAUAUUAAAAAAUGGGGCAAAUGUUGCCUCCUGGUUGAAUAGAACAGUUUUCUUGAAAAAUGGAGUGGAGCCAGGGGCUCGGGGGAAGGAAGUGUUUCCGAGGGCAAACGUUGGUCUUAGAUCCGGUCUGCAUUGCUCCAGUGUGUGCACGCCGAGGAGCUUUCUGUAGACGCUGAGGGUUAUGUUCUGCUUCGUUUUUGAUUUUCAAGGGGAAAGAGGACAUACAAAACAAAAACAAAAAAAAACCUACAACAACAUGGAUGCCUGUAACUUUGGCAAAUAUAAGGCUGUCCUGUUCAAUGCCCUCAUAAAUCAUUAAUAUUUUCCUGUCUAUUUUAUUUUCAUUCUUACAACGCUCUUAGCCUGACCCCUUAAUAUGGAAAAUAAUUAACUCUUUCAUGCUCCUGAUGCCUGAACAAUAACAAAUAAACAAAAGAAUAUUAAUCUGUUCCGACAUAUUUGAGAGGUUUCUUUUCCUUUUUACCCUCUUAACUAACCAGUGCCUCACAAGAUUAGAUCCUAUGGUUGAAGAAGGGGAAAAGUAUUUCCUUUUUCAAACACAUUAACUCCUCCAGGUCUGGGGGAGAUGAUUGGAGCUACAUGUAACUUAGCUCAAAAAUAAAUGUCCUGCCUUUGGUGAGAUCUGGCUUAAUAUUGAUAAAGUCACUUUUUUUUUUUUUUCAAAAACAAUAUGUUGCCUACGGAUGGAAGUUAAUGCACCAUAUAAUUAUACACACAUACACACGUGCAUGUAAGUUUUCAGUAUUUUUACUCUAGGAUGCUAACUAAAUCAAAUGCAAACCAGUAGUCUUGAGGUUUGUUGUCUGGUUGAAGGGUUUUGUUGGCCUAUAUCACUAGGACAUCUGCAGUGGUUGACUUUGUUUGUUUGCUAGUUUGGGUCAUAGUUCAGAUGUACUUGGAAAGGGCCGGGGAGUGGGUAGGGGGAUGUUUUAAAAGCUUAUGGAAAGAAUUGAACAUGUACAAAAAGAUAUAGGAUCUCAGCCCCCUGGCUGGUUACCUGACAAUACUGUUUACAGAAAGGAAAGUAUAGUAGGUUAUGGCAGAGAUUCCUAUCCUCAGGACUUGGGGCGGGGUGGGAGGGGGCGCAGAGAGGGGGUAGCGGGGCACAUAAGAAGCAUGUCACAAUCAUUUUGAGUGAAUAUAGUAUUUAAAAAGCAUAUCGAGAAUUAAAUUUUGUUUUUAGUCAUGCUAUUUCUUUUGAAAUUGCAAAUAACAAAGGAAUAUAAGAUUUUUGAUGUGUCAAAAGGGAGCAUGGAUUAAAAUUUUAGAAACCCUAUGCUACAGAACCAUAAAGUAAAAAUCCUGGGAGGGAGGGAAUUUAUGCAUCAUACGACAGAUGAGGCUCAGGGCUAAUUAGAGGCAGGGCUAGGACUGGUUCCUAGUCCAGUGCUUCUUCCAGUCCACUAGAAUGUACUUAUUUUUAACAGCUUUAUUGAGAUAUAAUUCAUAAACCAUCAUUUCACCCAUUUAAUUCAAUGGUUUUUAGUGUGUUCACAGAGUUGUGUAACCAUCCCCAUAGUCAAUUAAAAGACAUUUUCACCACCUUAAAAAGAAGCCUUGUACCCUUUAGCUAUUGCCCCUCUUUAUACUUCCGUCUCUCUCUCCAACAGCUCCUGGCAACCACUAAUCUACUUUCUGUCUCUAUAUUUGCCUAUUCUAGACAUUUCACCAAUGUGAUCAUGGAAUACGUGGUAUUUUGAGACUGGCUUUUUUCACUAAGCAUAAUGUUUGCAAGGUUCAUCCAUGUCAUAGCAUGUAUUAUCAGCACUUCAUUCCCUUUCAAGGCUGAGCAAUGUUCCAUUGUAUGGAUAUAAGGUAUCUUUUUUUUACCUAUUUAUCAGUGGAUGGGCAUUUGAUAUUCAUCUCUUACCAUUAUAAGCGUUCAUAUACAAGUUUUGGUACCAUUAAGUAUUUUUGGGAAUGACAGUAUAGCAACAAAGACCUGUCUUAGGUUUGUAUAAUUUGGAAAGCACUUUUCAUUCGAUCAUCCCAAUUUCAGCACCUAAACACUGCUAGAAAACUUGCCGGUGAGUGGCAGUUUUCCCACUCAGUUCUCAUAUUCUUCUCACUACACACUGCUCUCACUUUCCCCGCCACUGGGUAGUGUUUUGACUGUGAUAAUUACGAGUGAUGUUCAAAGAAAAGGAAAGUUGGCUGGGCACAGUGGCUCACGCCUGUAAUCCCAGCAUUUUGGGAGGCCGAGGGAGGCGGAUCACCUGAGGUUGGGAGUUCAAGACCAGCCUGAUGAACAUAGAAAAACCCCGUCUCUACUAAAAAUAUAAAAUUAGCUGGGAGUGGGGGUGCAUGCCUGUAAUCCCAGCUACUUGGGAGACUGAGGCAGGAGAAUCGCUUGAACGCAUAAGGCAGAGGUUGCUGUGAGCCGAGAUUGCGCCACUGCACUCCAGCAUGGGCAACAAGAGUGAAACUCCAUCUCAAAAAAAAAAAAAAAAAAAAAAAAAGAAAAAAAGAAAAGAAAAAGAAAAAGGAUAGUCACACUGAAAUCCAGCAACUCAGCAGUAAAAUGCACAAAGUUCCCUCGAAAUGACUUAGAUGACCAUAAGCAUUUUCAAAGAUUUGACAGAUUCCAAGAUGUCAUUUUGCUAAUGUUAUUGUCUUUAUUCGAGAGAUUGUUUUCCUUUAAGUGUGUUUCCAUUUGUAUUUUAAAGGUCUACAGGUUACAUAUUGACAUAUAUUAUUACAUAGAGCUUAGGUUUCAAGCUUUACUCAUUAAAACAGAGGUCACAGUGAACAUUCCAAGGAUGCAUGCAAGCCUCCAUUCAAGUCAAAUCAUCUUCAUUGUGCCAUUCUAUAGCCUAAUUUCAUAACCAGACGGAACUAGAAAUCAAGCUAAAUUUUGAGAUAUCCUCUCUUGACAUGAGCAGAGACUCCAGGUCUAGAGGUUUAUGGUUGCUGAAGACUUGGAGAACUGAGGCAACUACAGGCAAGAUCCUAGAGAAAGGAAGGAGCUCAAAGGUACUCCAAUAUGGAGCUAAGAUUCUUUAAUACCUGAUUAGGGCCAGGCACAGUGGCUUAUGCCUGUAAUCUCAGCACUUUGGGAGGCUGAGGAGGGCAGAUCACCUGAGGUCAGGAGUUUGAGACCAGCCUGGACAACAUGGCGAAACCCUGUCUCUACUAAAAAUAUAAAAAUUAGCUGGGCAUGUUGGUGGGUGCCUAUAAUCUCAGCUACUAGGGAGGCUAAGGCAGGAGAAUCACUUGAACCCAGGAGGCAGAAAUUGCAGUGAGCUGAGAUCGAACCACUGCACUCCAGCCUGGGUGACAGAGAGAGAGAGAGAGAGAGAGAGAGAGACUCUGUCUCAAAGACAAACAAACAAGUAAACAAAAAAACCUGAUGUAUAUGGGGGCUGGUUGCCAUUCUAACACAACGGGGUUUUAAAUUAUUUGGGGGAAACUUUCUUUGGAAAAUAAAACAUAUUUGAUCAUUAAGGUGACCAUGCAUCCCACUUUCCUGGGAGGCUCAUGGUUUAUGCCUGUUGCCCAGUGUAAUUGUUAACAGUGCCUCUUCACUCUCAAACGUGUCCCAGUUUAGAUGACAAAUUAUCUGCUCAUCAUAUUUAUAAUAGAGAUUGGCAGAAAACUAGAAUUUGCUUUAAAUAGAUACAUUUAUUCAGUAAUGUGUAAGGGAUGUUUUGUUAGAUUCAAUUUUAUUGACUUCUUGUGAAUAUGGAAAAAUUGGAAUUUAAAUGAAAAAUGGUUCAUCUAUUAAACUAAAGAGAGACACUUCUGUUCUUUGAAGACAUUAUUAUACCUAUUUUAGCUUUUUCAUUAGUAGAGGAAGUUUUGCUAUAUUAUCCUAGAUCAUGCUAUUGCUUCUACAUUGUGCUAAUAAUCAUUUUAAAUCUAUAUUCUAAACCACUAUUUUUUUUAGCUCCAUAAGGUUAUACAAACUCAAAUUUGGCAAAUUGUCUGUUACAUGUAAGUAAAUAUUUUAUGUUUACUUAAAUAUAAAUAUAAACCCUGUCUCAUUCUGUUGCCUAGGCCGGAAUGCCAUGGUGUGAUCAUGAUUCACUGCAGCCUCCACCUCCUGGAUUUAAGCAAUCCUCCCACUUCAGCUUCCCUAGUAGCUGGGACUACAGGUGUGCACAACCAGACCCAGCUAAUUUUUACAUUUUUUGUAGAGACAGGGUUUUACCAUGUUGCCCAUGGUGAUCUUAUACUCCAGGCUCAAAUGAUCCUCCUGCCUUGGCCUCCAAAAGUGCUGGUAUUAUAGGCAUAAGCCACAACUCCCUGCCAUCACUUUUUUUUUUUUUUUUUUUUUUUAGGAUGAAGUCAUUUCAAAAUUUGCUUUCAAGGAAAAUUUUCUGUAAUAUAUACCAAGUGAUGAAUUAUUUGAAAUUUAUUUUAAUGCCUAAGGCCAAAAUAAUACAUGAGUUUUGAUAUUACUUUGCAUCAUCAUUGUCAACUAGUGAUUGGUUCAUUUCACAAGCUGCUUUAAAGAGAAUUUUAGUGGCUGGGUGCAGUGUCUCACACCCAGCACUUUGGGAGGCCGAGGAGGUUGGAUGGCUUGAGCUCAGGAGUUUGAGAUCAGCCUGGGCAACAUAGUGAAACCUUGUCUCUACAAAAAAAACAAAACGACAAAAACUAGCUAGGCAUGGUGAUGCAUAACUGUAGUCCUCGGAGGCUGAAGUGGGAGGAUCACUCGAGCCAGGGAGGUGGAGGUUGCUAAGCUGUGAUAGUGCCACUACACUCCAGCCUGGGCAACAGAGUGAGACUCUGUCUCAAAAAAAAAAAAAAGAAAGAAAAGAAAAGAAAAUUGUAUAUGUAAUUACCUUCCUCAACUGUGGUAGACAAUUUCAGUUCUUUCUAAAGUAAUUUGGCAAAUACCCCCAACACUGUUAGAGAAGGAAAACUUUUCAUGUGGCUGAUUGAUGGACUUCUUAUGAUUUGACCAAAUUUCAAUAUUAUGUUUAUCAAGUGGGUAGAGAAGAGAGGUGCUCCCUUUUCCCCUCCUGUCUAUUCUCCUCCUGCCGCUGUUCUCUACCUCCCCUACCCGCAGACACACUGAUGAUGUAUUGCAAUCUUGGAACUGUUGGAUCCUGGAGGAGGUUAAGAAACUAGAAAAAGGUGCCAAAAACAUGAUUUCAUAAGGUUUGACUUGAGAAUGAAUCAACUUUCUUGAAUAUCUUAAAAUCAUGUUUCAUGAAAUUUUAUUUCACAAAGAAAGGGAGUGUAGAAGACUUGAACUCUGAAGACCAACAGUUAUGGAUCAUUAAAUCCAAUAUGUAAAUGUAAAUCUAAAAUAAAGAGUUCCAACAGAAAAA
Molecule: long non-coding RNA, 12801 nt
Organism: Homo sapiens (human)
Lineage: Eukaryota; Metazoa; Chordata; Mammalia; Primates; Hominidae
Exons: 2
Source: RefSeq, a predicted model, not a curated record